CUUAAGUAUUGGAGGAUGACUAAGGAAUAAGGUCAAAAGUUCUUGCCAAUUAUUAUAAAUAAAGUUUAUGUUAGAAAAAUGGAUAUUACAUAUAAGUCCAACGAGGUUCACUAAAAAUGGUAUUUUAAUUUUCUUUCUCUCACUAAGAGAGCAUGAGCACCUUGAUUUUAUGGGUUACUAUCGCUUUUAUGUGUUAUCGAGGGAGAGUUACAACUCUGACAAAUUAACCAUCUACGGCGCCGUCUCCUAACCAACAUUCAAACAAACAUGCAGAUGAUAACUUUCUUCACUCCACUUCAAUAAAAUGUGUAAUAAAGUUUGUUGGUAUAGUUGUCGGCGAGGCCAGGAACGAAGAUGUUAACGGAUAAAUUUAAUUUAUCAGGGUUGUGAUUCUCCUCCGAUACCAUGGGAAUGAUAGGAGCUGAUGAAAGGUACCUCGUGUCUCUUUGUGAGAUAAAAGAGACGUAAGAAAACUAUCAAAGUUGGUGCUGUCAAUUGCGAUUACUGUUUAAGCUGCAAAUUUGCUCAAAUUAGCAGGCGCAAUGUUCGAUUGAAUAUUUUAAUGCGACUGAUAAAUUAAUGGGUUUGCUUCUGAGUUUAUUUAAUUGUGAUUUUAUUGAUCUUGUUGGUUUAGAAAUUAGGAAGUGGGUUUAAUUUUAUUGCUAGAUUUGCUCUAUAUUUGCUGGUUUGAUUCUAUUCAUAGUGUUGUUGAUUCUAAUUGUGCUAUAUAAUGCUCAAUCUGAUGAUGAUAAAGUAUUUCAUUUCAUCUAUAUUAUUUGAUUAUGCUUUCCUAUUUCUGGUCAAUGGAUUCCAGAUGUGCUAUAAAUGAAUUUAGAAGUAGAUCUCAUUAACUAAAGAGGUACCUCUUUUGCUAUUAUGUUACCAUUGAGAAUUCGGGUUUAUAAUUAUUCUGUUGAAUAUAGGAAAUUUUGAAUGUACCUGUUUCAUGAAUGAAAUUUUUUCUUUUCAAUCGUUCUUAAAUGUAAAUUAAAACACACAAAUUUAUCGCUUUGAAUUGCCAUAAUACUACAUUUUCGUUUAUAAUACGCAAGUUUCAGUACUUAAGACUGGUGUUUGAAGUCUUUCUACCCGUCUUUGUGCCUCUUAGGCUCCUAAGUCGUAGUCAACCUGAUAUGAGAGAAGAGGGUAUAAGACCAAGUGGUGUUGGAAUCUUCGUGGAUGAAUCAAUAGUAGAUGAUCUUGCACUCAACCACUAAUAGCCUAUACGAGCCACCUAAUGGAUUUCAGUUACUUUGGUUUGUGUAAUAUAAUUCACGGUUAUGUUAUUAAGGCUCUGUAAAUCAACCUCUGCAAAUGAGACCUUGCUAUUAUGUGACAAUUUGUUAACUAUUCACACAAUAUUAUGUUAGGAGCCUAGAACUCUAUUAACAUCCCAUCAUUAACAAGAAGUUGAACCACUAGUAUAGAUCAGCAAUUAAUUGUUGAAAUUAAAUUUCUCCGGAAGGGUGGUACCUAGUUGAUUACUUCUUAGGUGUGAAGUCUGUGAACCUAGUUUGUGUCGUCUCAUCAAACAAUUUAAUAAUUGUGACUUCUCAAGAUGUGUGACAAUCUGGUUACUCUCUUCUCUCAGAAUGAAGAUGUUCUUCUGAAAAUGUUGGUACUAACGUGUGAUACCUAGCACGAUAUGCAAUUAUUGUGCUGUUCAACUCUGUAAUCCAUGUAGGAGAUUCUAGGAUUUUGUUGGACACUUUAAUACUACCUCCGUUAACUUUUAGUUGCAACUUUGGAAUAUUUUAUAUCUCACAAAUAAUACCCUAAAGUUGCAACUAAAAGUUAACGGGGUAGUAUAUUUUUGAGACCCUUUAUCAUCAUAUGACCGUUGAAUUCGACUUUCUGUGUGUUAUAAGAUAUCCUAGGUCCUGUAAUAAUAGCUUGUUUUGUUCCAUAUAUAUACCUUGAAAUAGCCUCCUCUUCUAAUUUGGAUUUUAGGAUUCGACUGCUUACAUGUUAGUAUCUUAUGAGUCAUGUUUCAGUCUCCUGAACUUCACCUGGCACAACUUAAACUAGGUGGUGUUUGACUUUUUGUUUUUUAACAUCCUUGCUGACCUCAGUCCACAAGUCAAACAUACAGCAUUAGAUUAUCUUCUUGUCUUCUCUUGAGAAACUAAAGCAAUGGUAUAUUAUAUUGUUUCCGUAGAUUGUCAAUGAUAACGAAGUAUUUCAGUUACUGUAGGUUAUGUUUCCCUUCAAUCUUCAUUGAGUUUAGAAAGUGAUAUUUGAGGAGAAUAGUUUUUUAAUGCCUUCAACAGCAGGUGGAAGAACAUUGUGGUCUGUUCUGGUAAGGGCAUUUGUGCAAGUGGUACUAUGGCUAGCUGUUUCUUCUAUUUUUCUCCUCGGGGACUGGGAUUUUGGGUUUGUCGAAUGACUUAGACUUCUGUUAUUUCAAAUACACUUAGCUUAUUGCCCAUGGGUGAACUGGUGAAAGCCUGCUUGCUGAGUGAAAAGCAAAAUGUUUUUAUGCUGAGUCUGAUUUCCAGGUUUGGAUCUUGUCAGUUUGUUGCUUGAGAUUUAAUGAAAACUGUGGUACCGUUACUUGUAGGUGUUAAUCAUGAUUGUUUCUUAGCAAUUUUCCAACAUUAUUGACUUUUUAGCAUAUAGUUAUGUUAUUUAUCCUUUUUUAGGGUUUUUUUUUUUUCCUUCUUCUGUGUUCUUUUGAAGUUUGAAGUUAUCAUGAUAGAAGUUUCUCCGUAUACAGUUUAAUGUCUUUUUAUGCAGGCCCCAUGUUUAAUUGUUUGUUAUUUCGUCUGGAUUAUUUUGAAGAUGUUCCAUUAUGUUUUGUUCUUGUCUCUCGCUUAAAAGCCAAGAUUGCAGCUUUUUUGUUGAUGGCUUGAUGCGUUUCUUUGUUACAUUAUAUAACUUUGUUUCAGGAUGAUAGAUAUUAUGCCUUUUACAUUUGAAGCUGUUUAGAAAUUAGAACUUAGAUUAUCUAGCUCAAUAUAUCAGUACAGAUAAAGUCAUCACGUACUGUCAGUACAGAGAAAGCAUGAUUGGAAGGAUACUAAAGGAAGAAUCAGAGUAAUAUAGAGUUGGUUGAUGCUUCUAUAGUGCUUUGAAGAAAUUAUCGAUUGGAACUCAAUUUAAAUUCGAGCUGGUUGUCUAGGGAACUCAAUUUAAAUUCAAGCUGGUUGUCUAGGUUAAUGCCAGUGUACUUUGUUUAGAUCCGUCCAAGGGAUAGUGCAGUCAGCCAGCCACCACUGAGAGUGGGUUAUAAAGCCGAAUCCAAAGUAAAAUCAGAUGUGUUUGCAUGUGUAGUAGAUGAAGUAUAUUGGAACUGAGUAGUAACUAAAGCUGGUUCUCGAAUCCAGUCUUGUAGAUUGUGUUAUAUGUUGAAUUGUUGAUCCAUUUUAAAUCCAUCCACCCCUUUAACAUGUCUUAUCUAAUAAAAGCUUUAAUUAAUGUUUGGUUUA
This is a long non-coding RNA of Chenopodium quinoa (quinoa), 3428 nucleotides long. RefSeq lists it as uncharacterized. The record is from RefSeq and is a predicted model, not a curated record. NCBI's taxonomy places the organism in Eukaryota, Viridiplantae, Streptophyta, Magnoliopsida, Caryophyllales, Amaranthaceae. The transcript is spliced from 2 exons.